GAUGAAGAACGCAGCGAAAUGCGAUAAGUAAUGUGAAUUGCAGAAUUCAGUGAAUCAUCGAAUCUUUGAACGCACAUUGCGCCCGCCAGUAUUCUGGCGGGUAUGCCUGUUCGAGCGUCAUUUCAACCAUCAAGCCCCAGGCUUGUGUUGGGGACCUGCGGCUGCCGCAGGCCCUGAAAACCAGUGGCGGGCUCGCUGUCACACCGGGCGUAGUAGAUUUUAUCUCGCUCAGGGCGUGCUGCGGGUUCCGGCCGUUAAAAAGCCUUUUUUACCCAAGGUUGACCUCGGAUCAGGUAGGAAGACCCGCUGAACUUAAGCAUAUCAAUAAGCGGAGGA
Molecule: unclassified non-coding RNA, 336 nt
Filed under: soil metagenome
Description: partial contains 5.8S ribosomal RNA, internal transcribed spacer 2, and large subunit ribosomal RNA
Rfam family: 5.8S ribosomal RNA (bases 1-120)
Source: RNAcentral